CUCGCAAAUUUGUAAAUAAUUCUUAUUCACAAUGAUACUGCGUGUGUUAUAUCACGCUGAUGUGAAGUCUUCCAUUUACUCUUCGUUGA
Xenia sp. Carnegie-2017 is the source of this 89-nucleotide long non-coding RNA. RefSeq lists it as uncharacterized. The transcript has 3 exons. Lineage: Eukaryota; Metazoa; Cnidaria; Anthozoa; Malacalcyonacea; Xeniidae. The record is from RefSeq and is a predicted model, not a curated record.